UACGUAGGGUGCGAGCGUUACUCGGAAUUACUGGGCGUAAAGCGUGCGCAGGCGGCGCGUUAAGACAGGUGUGAAAGCCCCGAGCUUAACUUGGGAAUUGCGCUUGUGACUGGCGUGCUGGAGUGUGGCAGAGGGAGGUGGAAUUCCACGUGUAGCAGUGAAAUGCGUAGAUAUCAGGAGGAACACCGAUGGCGAAGGCAGGUCUCUGGGCUGACACUGACGCUCAUGCACGAAAGCGUGGGGAGCAAACAGG
RNAcentral lists this ribosomal RNA (253 nucleotides) under uncultured bacterium. RNAcentral describes it as "partial 16S ribosomal RNA". It matches the Rfam family "Bacterial small subunit ribosomal RNA", at positions 524 to 776 of the family's 1533-position model. The record is from RNAcentral.